AUGAUAAAAAAGGAUAGGACUAUUGAUUCGAAGUCACUACGAAAGGGUCGGUCAAUAGCAUAGCUCUUGAUUUACCCGGUCUCCUUUCGAAGGAAAGGCCUUCGCUUUCCUAAUCCGGUAGGGGGCCGGACGACUUUGUUUGCCCCAGCUUGGCUAAUCGCAUCCCCGCGCAACGACAUUCCGCCCCUUACCAUUCUCGCUCAGUCUUUGCAACGGAUGGGGAGGCAGUCGUAGAAGCGAAGCCUAUCGCCACGCCGACCAUAAAAGACGAGAUUGGGCCCCUUCUCAAAGAUUUGAUGGAAUGGCCCACCCAAGAGAAUAAUCAGAAUAAAAGUCCAGGUUGGUUGGUGAGCCUAGUGAUAGGAGACUAUCUAGCUUGGUUCGGAGAGCACUUGUUGGUGUUCCCGGACCGCAUGCAUACAUACGUAAGUAACUUAGUGCAACAUGGCAAAUUUAAUUGA
Molecule: non-coding RNA, 461 nt
Organism: Vicia faba (fava bean)
Lineage: Eukaryota; Viridiplantae; Streptophyta; Magnoliopsida; Fabales; Fabaceae
Source: the annotation of a GenBank genome assembly